AUUGAACGCUGGCGGCAGGCCUAACACAUGCAAGUCGAGCGGUAACAGAAAGAAGCUUGCUUCUUUGCUGACGAGCGGCGGACGGGUGAGUAAUGCUUGGGAACAUGCCUUGAGGUGGGGGACAACAGUUGGAAACGACUGCUAAUACCGCAUAAUGUCUACGGACCAAAGGGGGCUUCGGCUCUCGCCUUUAGAUUGGCCCAAGUGGGAUUAGCUAGUUGGUGAGGCAAUGGCUCACCAAGGCGACGAUCCCUAGCUGGUUUGAGAGGAUGAUCAGCCACACUGGGACUGAGACACGGCCCAGACUCCUACGGGAGGCAGCAGUGGGGAAUAUUGCACAAUGGGCGCAAGCCUGAUGCAGCCAUGCCGCGUGUGUGAAGAAGGCCUUCGGGUUGUAAAGCACUUUCAGUCAGGAGGAAAGGUUAGUAGUUAAUACCUGCUAGCUGUGACGUUACUGACAGAAGAAGCACCGGCUAACUCCGUG
Molecule: ribosomal RNA, 484 nt
Filed under: uncultured bacterium
Lineage: Bacteria
Description: partial 16S ribosomal RNA
Rfam family: Bacterial small subunit ribosomal RNA
Source: RNAcentral